UACAGAGGUCUCAAGCGUUGUUCGGAUUCAUUGGGCGUAAAGGGUGCGUAGGUGGCGGGGUAAGUCAGGUGUGAAAUCUCGGAGCUCAACUCCGAAACUGCACUUGAUACUGCCUUGCUCGAGUACUGGAGAGGAGAUCGGAAUUUACGGUGUAGCAGUGAAAUGCGUAGAUAUCGUAAGGAAGACCAGUGGCGAAGGCGAAUCUCUGGACAGUUACUGACACUGAGGCACGAAGGCCAGGGGAGCAAACAGG
This 253-nucleotide ribosomal RNA is filed under the name uncultured bacterium. RNAcentral describes it as "partial 16S ribosomal RNA". It matches the Rfam family "Bacterial small subunit ribosomal RNA", at positions 524 to 776 of the family's 1533-position model. The record is from RNAcentral.